Long non-coding RNA from Drosophila sechellia, 1130 nucleotides. RefSeq lists it as uncharacterized. The record is from RefSeq and is a predicted model, not a curated record. The transcript is spliced from 2 exons. Lineage: Eukaryota; Metazoa; Arthropoda; Insecta; Diptera; Drosophilidae.
CGAAAAAACACAUCCAAAGGGGCGACAUUAAGUUCAUUACGCCUGAAAAGUCGAAAAUGAAAAGUGGAGGAAACGAGAGAAAACGACAACACCUGCGAGAAAUCCGUUGGAUUUCUAAGGCCAAAGGAGGUGGGGAAUUCGCAGAGUGCACACUUUUGGGGGCGGAUUGGAAUGGGGUGGGGAGGUUCAGGUGAGCGAGUCUAUUUUGGAUGCCCGCAACAAGUACGCAGGCGAGGAAAAUGCCAAAUUGCAUACGACUGCGUCACUCUUCGCGAAGAGCACCCAUCCCCAUCCCCAAUCCCCAUCAGCCAUCAGCAGGAGAAGAAUCCGAGCAGCGAGAAGAGCGGGAGAAGACGGGUAGCCGGCUCGGCUACCGAAGAAACUGCCCAACCACGAAGCGAGAGCAGUGCCUCUCUCUUUCUAGGCAAAUCAGCAUGGGGCAGGCGAAAACACACUGACACAUGGGGCAAAUUCCCACAGUCGAAGUCACCGAAAUAGCACUACGGAUGUAGCUAUCAGUCUAUCGAAGUGAUAAUCUCCUCGACAUACAAAAUUCAAACAGAUUACAGAUUGAUUCUGCAAGGGGAACUGAAGUAGUUAAUUUCAUCAGUUUACAACAAACACCACAACUACAAAUAAAAGAGUCUUAUUACGACAACCCUGUCUGUUCCUCAGCGAGUGUGUAAGGUUUUUGACACUGACUGCGGAUCGUUAGAAGAAUUCUGCGCAGUGGUCCUGCCAGCAGGAGCGCCUCGUCACCUCGGGCACAGUUUUCCCUUUCGGAAAAUGCAAUGGAAAGCCAGGACAGCGGGGGCUGCGCGGAGAGGGGUAGCACAAUGAAAACAUUAUUUUUAUUUUUAAACCGCGCACACUUGUUCCGUCGCUGUUGCGUCGUGGUUCGUUCUCGAAGUCAUGUUCGAUCCGAUGCCUAUCCGUACCGUUCCGAUCCGAUCCUCGGCAUGAGCGACCAACAGCUGCUGGCUCUGCGUCAGCUUCGUCACCUCCUCGACGUGGAUGCGGAUGUACACAGAGCGAAACGGGGGGUACCAUGCCAAAUAUAAAACAGAAUGGAAAUAGCUAAAUCACCUAACAAGAUACCGCAAUAAAACAAUACACUUGUGCAUAACCCA